RNAcentral lists this ribosomal RNA (403 nucleotides) under uncultured bacterium. Its description in RNAcentral is "bacterial SSU rRNA". It matches the Rfam family "Bacterial small subunit ribosomal RNA", at positions 355 to 774 of the family's 1533-position model. The record is from RNAcentral.
UGAGGAAUAUUGCUCAAUGGGCGAAAGCCUGAAGCAGCAACGCCGCGUGCGCGAUGAAGGUCUUCGGAUCGUAAAGCGCUUUUGAGAGGGACGAGAUAGGACGGUACCUCUUGAAUAAGUCACGGCUAACUACGUGCCAGCAGCCGCGGUAAAACGUAGGUGGCAAGCGUUAUCCGGAUUCACUGGGCGUAAAGCGAGUGCAGGUGGUUGCGUAAGUUGGAUGUGAAAUUUCCCGGCUUAACCGGGAAGGGUCGUUCAAUACUGCGCGACUUGAGGGCAGAAGAGGGGGGUGGAAUUGCCGGUGUAGUGGUGAAAUGCGUAGAUAUCGGCGGGAACACCUGUGGCGAAAGCGGCCCCCUGGUCUGCUCCUGACACUCAGACUCGAAAGCUAGGGUAGCGAACG